GGGUACGAGAGGGCCGCUACCACGCGAGUGGAUGCCAAUCCCCAAAACCUCUCUCAGUUCGGACUGGAGCCUGCAACCCGACUCCACGAAGCUGGAUUCGCUAGUAAUCGCGCAUCAGCCACGGCGCGGUGAAUACGUUCCCGGGCCUUGUACACACCGCCCGUCAAGCCAUGGGAGCCGGGGGUACCUGAAGUGCGUAACCGCGAGGAGCGCCCUAGGGUAAAACUGGUGACUGGGGCUAAGUCGUAACAAGGUACC
This 258-nucleotide ribosomal RNA is filed under the name uncultured bacterium. RNAcentral describes it as "partial 16S ribosomal RNA". It matches the Rfam family "Bacterial small subunit ribosomal RNA", at positions 1235 to 1500 of the family's 1533-position model. The record is from RNAcentral.